CCUACGGGCGGCAGCAGUGAGGAAUAUUGGUCAAUGGGCGGAAGCCUGAACCAGCCAAGCCGCGUGAGGGAAGAAGGUGCCGCGCAUUGUAAACUUCUUUUGUCAGGGGACAAAGUCAGGGACUAGAGCCUGGCUGAGGGUACCUGAAGAAAAAGCAUCGGCUAACUCCGUGCCAGCAGCCGCGGUAAUACGGAGGAUGCGAGCGUUAUCCGGAUUUAUUGGGUUUAAAGGGUGCGGAGGCGGCCUGUUAAGUCAGCGGUAAAAGCCCGGGGGUCAACCCCGGCGUGCCGUUGAUACUGGCUGGGUGGAGAUGUGGAGAGGUAGGCGGAAUGCGCGGUGAAGCGGUGAA
This 349-nucleotide ribosomal RNA is filed under the name uncultured bacterium. RNAcentral describes it as "partial 16S ribosomal RNA". It matches the Rfam family "Bacterial small subunit ribosomal RNA", at positions 338 to 685 of the family's 1533-position model. The record is from RNAcentral.